CACGACUAAAAGACGUUCCCAUAGCGCAGCUUAGAGUGUAGUCUUUGAAAGGGAACAUGAUAAUACAAAUAAUUACUGAAGGAGCCAAAUGUAGUGAUUAUUUAACCACUAGAUGGCGGUGUUCACUGUGCUGUAGGUGCAGGUCACCUGUUCAUGUUAUCUACUUAAACUUUCCUUUAGUUAUUUUGGGGAAGGGACAGGUGGCGGGAACAUAUGGUUCUUAAUAUAGAUCCACAAGCUUUUAAAACUGUAUGAGUUAUUUGUAUUAUUAUUAUUAUUUAUUUAUUUAUUUAUUUAUUUAUUUUUAUAUAAAGCAUUGAAGCAGAGAUCACUAUGUAGACAUUAUUUAUUUGUUUAUUCCAAACUAUGGCUGAAUAACAUCUUACCACCUUGCCCUGGCAUAUAGAAAAACCACUACAAUUACAAAUAAUGUGUCUCACUCUCAACUCAUUUUUAACACUUCAUUAAAAAAAAAAAAAACAUUUAAUGAGUUUUUUUUAUUAUUAUUUUUGUAAUUCUGCAGAUGGAACAUGUUCUAACUGUGAACCAGAACCUCAAUGGCUUGUUAUAGGAAUAUUAAAUGCUGCAUGUGUAGUUCUAGUUCUCGCUGUGAUUGGUUACUUGAUCUACAAAAGCAGAAGGGCAAAUGGAGAUGAGGACACGACUGCAGCCGGCUCAUCCCUUGCAAGUCUGAUAAGAAGCAAGUGCAAUUAUGGCUCAAUGGAUGAUCAGUCAAAAAAAUGACCAGUCAGAAGAUGAUCAGUAAAGACUGUAAUAGAGGAGAAGAUUAUUAUGAUGAGGACCACAUCUACAGGAUCAUCUACACACAGGUGUCUCCACAUCAUAUUCAUUGUCUUUCUUUACGCAAAGAGAGUUGGAGAAAUCAAAUCAAAAAUCAGUCCAAACUGCAGCAGGUGCAGACUCCAGUGGAUCAGCAGUGAUGAACUGAGAUGUGAACAUGUUUAUGGGCACUGAUGAGAAAUUACACAUUCUGGUCCAUUUUAAACAGACAAAGUGUUUUUACAUUCUUACAAGAUUUUGUUCCUUUAGCUGUUUCUAAUCUGUACUAAUUAUACUUUAAUAAGAAUGCUUACUUAUGGCAGCUUCUGUUCAUUAUAUUUUCAUUUGAUCUUAAAAUGCUUCAGACGACACUAACUCCUGUACAACUUUGGCCUGUUGCACAUUUUAGAGCUGACAAUUAAUAUAACACUUUGCUUUUAAAUGAAUAUAAAUAAUACAUGCAUUCAUGUAUAAAGUUUUAAACAGAUUAAGCUAACAUGUAUUCAUUUGAGCUCUCAGUGAACCUAUAUCUUUCAGCUUCCUUCUCAAACUUUCACAGCAGCAGCAGUGUUUAUUCCUGCCUUGUAAAUGUGUUUAAUUUCAUUAUAUUUUUCAUAACGAUCUCUUAAUCUUCAGAAGAGACGUGAAUUCACCGUCUCUCUCAUGAGAAGUGAAUCAAACUGACACUCUCCAUGUUCCACACUUUCAGGUGGACGCGCUUCAGAGUUAAUCACAAACUCUGGUACUCUAAACCUACUCUGAAACUCAAAAGUUUGUUCAGCUAGCUUUGUGCAACAGACCUCUGAACUCAUUAAGCUGAUCUUUCCAAAUCAAAUGAUGAAGAAAUUUACACUUAAAGGAUUAGUUCACUUUCAAAUUAAAUUUUCCUGAUAAUUUACU
Molecule: long non-coding RNA, 1680 nt
Organism: Megalobrama amblycephala (Wuchang bream)
Lineage: Eukaryota; Metazoa; Chordata; Actinopteri; Cypriniformes; Xenocyprididae
Exons: 3
Source: RefSeq, a predicted model, not a curated record